RNAcentral lists this long non-coding RNA (2294 nucleotides) under Homo sapiens (human). Its description in RNAcentral is "non-protein coding GATA3-AS1:14". The record is from RNAcentral. Lineage: Eukaryota; Metazoa; Chordata; Mammalia; Primates; Hominidae.
AUUCGGGUCGGGUGGACGAUUCCGUCCCGGUGCAGCCAGCCUGCCCCAUUCAUGAAGUUCAUUUCGAUGGGCAGAAUUUUCUUUUUCAGACUUUUAAAAAAUAGGCACGCAUGGAUCAUUAUUAGGAUCUAAUGCAGGGUGUUUGGGAGAGCGCAUCGAUGUGGGGAAACGUGCGCGUUAAAUUGAUCAGAAAAACAAAAUGUUUCAUGUCAAGGUAUUUUGAGAUUUGCCUCUCGGGCCGACUUCCUAAGAGGGUGAGUCAUCGGAUAAAGGGGAGAUGCCUUUGACUGGAGCGUCCGCGUCAAUUUUGUUGUCAUUGUCACCUCUUUCCCGAGCCUUCUGCGCUCUCAAGCCCCCAGAGUGAACACGCUUCAGCUGUUGCAGCUGCCCUUUCCAGACCUAAUAUUUGUAAUCAAUGUGUGCUUUUGACUUGAGUGGCAACAGUGAGGGAUGAGAAGGGGGGAGGGGAGGAAGAGACUGGCUCUAACUCAUUCCCCGAGUACGCUCAGUGUAGACGGACAGAAAGAACUCGGUCUUCACUCUAGGGACCCAACUUUUCCUUUCGCCCCGCCCGGAGCCCUACUUACUCCGGCUCCCGGCGUUUCUCCCACAGUCAAGGAAACCAGCCCUCGGUCUGCACCGACCCCAACCCCGGCCUCUGGUCGGGACUCCACGGCGACCUUCCCCGGCUCGCGGGUCUCCAGGCCACGCUCUGCGCAAUGGGCACCCCGGGGCGGAGGGCACGCGGCUCCGAGGCGCCCCAGCGAGAGGGGCGGGGCGAGCGGGGGCGGGGCCUGGAGGGACCAAUCAGCGGGCGAGGCUGUGGCCGAGCCGCGAUUGGUCCGCCCCGCGGGUUCCAACCUGCACCGCCCGCUCGGUCCUUUGAGCCACUGCAUCCCCUAGCGGCGCCCGGGUGGCUGCAGCCGCUGGCCCGAAAAUGCUGCUCGGGCGAGCAGGGGUCAGGCGGGAAAAGAAGACUCCAAAUCCACUCUCUGCUCGCCCCCAGGGCAAUGCUGCCAGGAGAGGGAGUGGGUUCCCCCGCAGGCUAUCCCACCGAUGGGGCUGAGAGCUUAAUUUGGGGUUUUAUUUGAAUUGGAGACAUUGUUCCCUCUUCGCUCCUCUACCCCAUAAAAUUCCCUACAAAUGCAAAAAUUCGAGAUAGAAGAAGCCGUCCCUGAAAGUAAGUUCUGAAGGAUUCCUUUCAUGCGGUGAAGGAACAACAACAAUAUUCAACUUCACCUUGGUGUGUGAGGGUCGUCGUGUUUUAAAACACUAUCCCUGUAGAAAGAUUAGUGAAAUGUAUUGGAAGAAGUAGUGGAAACGUGAAUCUUCCUGGUCUCGCGUUUGGAUCUUCUUUGGAGUCCUCACCUUCUUAAAUCUGAUGUUUGUUUGAAAUCAGGGCUGAAUUUCCAUAUAUAGGACAGAAAGAAAGAACCCCAAUUUUUUAAAGAAAGCUCCCCCCCCCCCCGCCACGUUUCUCCUGAGCCCACUUGGUCUCCCGUUAUUAGGCGGCCCAGUUAAGAGGCAUCGAUUUUCCUUUCAUUCUCUGACCACUCGUCUCUCCUGGGCCAGCCAGGCUGCCCGCAUCUUCUCCUGCUCACAGCGCUCUCUAAACCUUUUAAUUAUUUAGUUGCUGUCUAACAUUCACCGGAAACCUCUCCAUAAACAAGGAGAAACGAAUGCACACGCAUUUUUGCUAAGAAGCCCGGGAUUAAGAUUUAAGGAUACAAGCUGAAAGAAAAAAUGAAAAAUGCUUCUCCGCGCGUCAAUCGAGGGGUGGAUGCGCCACGCAGCGUGAGCCCAGCUCACAGCCACGCGUAAGACCAAAAGCUGCCAUGGGUUCUGCGCGCGGAGACCUCAGAGCCGAAGAGAGAAGUCCCCGCGUCAGAAACGCUGCGGAUGCCAGGUCUUGAAAAUGCUGACUUCUGAGGCUAAGAAUUAUUUCAAAGACAAAAAGAAAAGACUGGUGAGGAGGCCUUCCGGUGCAAGGGCGCCUAUCCGCUAAUUUUGGAUGGGGAAGUAGGGAUUAUUCGUUUAAAUUCAAUCGCGAGCACCAAGUCGGACUGGCCGGGGAUGGAGAAGGGCAACCCCCACCUUUAGAAAAAUAAAAGAUCUCGAAGGCCCUUCUUGGUCUGGGUGGUUUGAGGCUGGCAGAGAGGGGUGGGGGGCCUGGGGCUGGAUGUCCCGGGUAAUGGAGCCAGCCGGUAGGGGGUAUUUAGCAUUUAAUUCCCAGCCGGCCCGCCCCAGUUCCCGGACUGACAGUGGGUAAUUGGGAGAGAGGACGUUGCUCUUUU